This is a long non-coding RNA of Equus quagga, 1437 nucleotides long. RefSeq lists it as uncharacterized. The record is from RefSeq and is a predicted model, not a curated record. The transcript is spliced from 6 exons. Lineage: Eukaryota; Metazoa; Chordata; Mammalia; Perissodactyla; Equidae.
GUUGACAUCACCACCGCCUCCGUCUUCUCCUUCUCUGCGUUGGAGCCUGCAGCCUGGUACAUCCUGCAAGGAAAGGCGGUGGAGGUCUCUCAUUGGCCAGAAGCUACCAGGGCAGGAAUCCAGCCACCACACUGUGAAGAAGCCCAAACUAGCCUGCCUGGAGAGACCAAUGGAAACACCCAUGUGGAGAGGAACUGAGGCCCCCAACCUAUAGUCAGCACCCACCACGAGCUUUGUGAGUGAAUGAGCCUUCAGAUUAUUCCAAAGUCCAGCGUUGGCUGCCUCCAGCUAAGGCCCUAGACAUCACAGAGCAGAGGCAGUUCCAUGAAGAGUCCCCCUACUCUUCUGAGAGAAAGCCGAGUAGAGAAAAACUAGUCAGGAACUUUCCUGCCAGAGGACCCACCCACUCCUGCCUCGUGCGCCAUCUCCCUCCAUGUCUACAAAUACAGGAGGCAGUGUACACUAGCAGUAAAGAAAAGAAGAUAUAGAAGGUGGAACCAAGAGCCCGGAGCAUGGAGCCAAGAAGUGUGGAGAAGCAUUCCCAGGCAGUAGCACUGAGCCCUAAUCAAGAAACUGGCAAUAUGUGCCUGUCUGGAUUUCAAAAUUGCUGUGGACCAGUGACUACUGUGACAUAUGCCUUUGGACCUCUGAGUUGUCAGGAGAGAAGUCCAGCUAUUCUGAAGCUGCGUGUGGGAGAGUUUGUGUGCAGAGGCCACAGAGAGACAGAGAGGAACUCCAGCUGGUCCAGCCCUACUUGUUUGAGUCCUCCCAGCCCAGGUGCCACAUAUGUGAGUGCACAAGCCACAGUCACACUCUGACUACAACUUCAUGAGACUCCAAUCCAGAACUGCCCAGCUGAGUUCCCUGUUUCCUGACCCACAGAAACUGUGAAUGAGUUCCCUCCCACACUGAAUCUGGUCUAGGACUAUAACUCACCUUAACCAACGGAAUAUGGCCAAAGAGAUGCUGGGCCAGUGCAGGCCUGAGCUUUAAUAAGGUUUGAGGCUUCCACUUUCAUACUUUUGGGAGUCCUGAGCUGUUAUGUAAGAAGUCUGGAUCCCUGCUAGAGAAAUCCACAUGGAGAGGAGACCUGGAAAGGCCACAUGGAGAGGGAGAGACCCUGGGAGUACAUAGAGAGAGAGAGAAUUCCGGCAAUCCUACCGUCUCCACUGAACCCAGCCUUCCAGGGUCCUUGCCUGGGUGCUAGACAUGAGAAUCCACCAUCUUGACUCAGCCAGCCCAGUCAAGAUCCCAGAUGACUACAGUCUCAGCUGCCAUCUGGCUGUAGCAGCACGAUAGUCCCCAGGCGAGAUCAGUAGAAGUGGUGUCCAGUCAACUUACCAAAUCAUGAGAGAUAAUAAGUGUUUGUUGUUCGUUUUAAGCCACUGUGUUUUAGGGUGGUUUGUUACAUGGCAUUAGAUAACCCAAAGGUGCCCA